Molecule: non-coding RNA, 356 nt
Filed under: Allomyces macrogynus ATCC 38327
Lineage: Eukaryota; Fungi; Blastocladiomycota; Blastocladiomycetes; Blastocladiales; Blastocladiaceae
Description: Eukaryotic large subunit ribosomal RNA
Rfam family: Eukaryotic large subunit ribosomal RNA
Source: Rfam by way of RNAcentral
GAUAGAUGAAACGAACUCUGAAGAGAGAGUUCACAGUACGUGAAAUUGCUGAAAGGGAAACGCUUGAAACGAUUGUUGCCAUUGGUUUCGGCCUUGAGCGAGUCAGCAGCAGUUUUAAUCGGUAAAGAAGUGCUUGUGGAAGGUAGUUUUCUUUGGAAAAUGUUAUAUCCAUAAGUAACUGUGCCGGUUAGGAGUGAGGAUCGCUUUUAAGUGUCUUGUCGAGGAAUUUUGGGCCGUUAGCGCCAAGUCCUUGGGCUUGCUCAAGACUUGGUGUUAACUGUUCAGGACGUCCAAACACAAGGCCUUAAAAUAGGUUGCUGACAAAAUGGUUCUAAUCGACUCGUCUCGAGACGCGG